RNAcentral lists this non-coding RNA (31 nucleotides) under Mus musculus (house mouse). Lineage: Eukaryota; Metazoa; Chordata; Mammalia; Rodentia; Muridae. The record is from RNAcentral.
ACAACUCUUAUGAAAGAAAGCCUUUAAUUGG